AACCUUGGGAAUCGAUUUUCUCAGUUGCAUAUUUGUGUCUGGGCUCUAGGGAGAGUGAAGAUGGCUUUGGCUUUGUCACUUUCCCCUCGGUUGGACUCUACCCUUGGGUUUGGGGCUUAGCCACAUUUGAGGCUCAACAGGUGUAAGAGCUUCCCGCUCAGUCAGAGAUGAUCACUGGAAGAGUCUCCACCUGUAUCGUUCCCACCGGUCGGCUCUACUAUCUUUGCAGUGACCAGAUGGAGCGUGUACCUCGGACUCUGAGCCUACUGAACAGAUGCUGGGUUCAACCGUGACUCCCAGAAUGAAUGAGGAGAAACCGACAGAUCUGUGGGAUUCUUCCGGCUGUAGGAGACGGCUUCUCCCUGGACCGAGAUGAGAGGGAUCAGAGAAGACUUCCAGAGGAGGAGAGCUUCCCGGCGCUCUGUGGCAUGAAUCGUAUGGGCGAGGGAAUUUCAGGCUGACUCCCUAUCAGGGCUUUCACCUCCGCUUGGAUCUUCACCUUCAAUAUCUGCCUAGAGGUCAUUUGUACCCUCCGACUUGAGAGUGGACCCGGACGUCCCCGUGUCCGGGAAGAACGAGGCGAAGACGGGGGCCAAGAGAGAGAGAGCUUCCGUGUCCGGCGGUGAGAUAUAACAGCGACCCCAUAAUUGUGGCCCACGGCCCGCCAGCCGGACCGUCUUCCUCUGGAAUCCACCGGCAGCCAUCCCGGAACGUGCCGGAUUCAUCGUUCCUCGACACCCCCGGCCGAAACCACCGGAGCCACGUUCGCGGAACGUCUGCCGGGAUCGUCUCCGAACGCCAUCGGCAGCCCCCCGAGAUAGGCCCCGGGACCCUCUGGUCUCAUGCACAUGGGAAAAAAUGAAUAAAAAUGUCUUAGCCCCA
Ornithorhynchus anatinus (platypus) is the source of this 882-nucleotide long non-coding RNA. RefSeq lists it as uncharacterized. The transcript has 4 exons. Lineage: Eukaryota; Metazoa; Chordata; Mammalia; Monotremata; Ornithorhynchidae. The record is from RefSeq and is a predicted model, not a curated record.